This 430-nucleotide ribosomal RNA is filed under the name Pseudomonadota bacterium. RNAcentral's name for it is "Proteobacteria bacterium partial 16S ribosomal RNA". It matches the Rfam family "Bacterial small subunit ribosomal RNA", at positions 355 to 776 of the family's 1533-position model. The record is from RNAcentral. Lineage: Bacteria; Pseudomonadati; Pseudomonadota.
UGGGGAAUAUUGGACAAUGGGGGGAACCCUGACCCAGCCAUGCCGCGUGUGUGAAGAAGGCCUUAUGGUUGUAAAGCACUUUAAGCGAGGAGGAGGGUACUGGUAUUAAUACUACCAGGUACUGGACGUUACUCGCAGAAUAAGCACCGGCUAACUCUGUGCCAGCAGCCGCGGUAAUACAGAGGGUGCGAGCGUUAAUCGGAUUUACUGGGCGUAAAGCGUGCGUAGGCGGCUAAUUGAGUCGGAUGUGAAAUCCCCGAGCUUAACUUGGGAAUUGCAUUCGAUACUGGUUAGCUAGAGUGUGGGAGAGGAUGGUAGAAUUCCAGGUGUAGCGGUGAAAUGCGUAGAGAUCUGGAGGAAUACCGAUGGCGAAGGCAGCCAUCUGGCCUAACACUGACGCUGAGGUACGAAAGCAUGGGGAGCAAACAGG